RNAcentral lists this ribosomal RNA (252 nucleotides) under uncultured bacterium. RNAcentral's name for it is "partial 16S ribosomal RNA". It matches the Rfam family "Bacterial small subunit ribosomal RNA", at positions 524 to 776 of the family's 1533-position model. The record is from RNAcentral.
UACGUAGGUCCCGAGCGCUAUCCGGAUUUAUUGGGCGUAAAGCGAGCGCAGGCGGUUGGAUAAGUCUGAAGUUAAAGGCUGUGGCUCAACCAUAGUAUGCUUUGGAAACUGUUCAACUUGAGUGCAGAAGGGGAGAGUGGAAUUCCAUGUGUAGCGGUGGAAUGCGUAGAUAUAUGGAGGAACACCGGUGGCGAAAGCGGCUCUCUGGUCUGUAACUGACGCUGAGGCUCGAAAGCGUGGGUAGCGAACAGG